RNAcentral lists this ribosomal RNA (440 nucleotides) under uncultured bacterium. Its description in RNAcentral is "partial 16S ribosomal RNA". It matches the Rfam family "Bacterial small subunit ribosomal RNA", at positions 338 to 795 of the family's 1533-position model. The record is from RNAcentral.
CCUACGGGAGGCAGCAGUAGGGAAUAUUGCUCAAUGGGGGAAACCCUGAAGCAGCAACGUCGCGUGGAGGAUGAAGGUUUUCGGAUUGUAAACUCUCUUUGUUAGAGAAGAUAAUGACGGUAUCUAACGAAUAAGCACCGGCUAACUCCGUGCCAGCAGCCGCGGUAAUACGGAGGGUGCAAGCGUUACUCGGAAUCACUGGGCGUAAAGAGCGCGUAGGCGGGAUAGCAAGUCAGAUGUGAAAUCCUAUGGCUUAACCAUAGAACUGCAUUUGAAACUGUUAUUCUAGAGUAUGGGAGAGGUAGGUGGAAUUCGUGGUGUAGGGGUAAAAUGCGUAGAGAUCAAGAGGAAUACUCAUUGCGAAGGCGACCUGCUAGAACAUAACUGACGCUGAUGCGCGAAAGCGUGGGGAGCAAACAGGAUUAGAUACCCGAGUAGUC